GGGAGCGGCAGACGGGUGAGUAACGCGUGGGAAUCUACCCUUUUCUACGGAAUAACGCAGGGAAACUUGUGCUAAUACCGUAUGAGCCCUUCGGGGGAAAGAUUUAUCGGGAAAGGAUGAGCCCGCGUUGGAUUAGCUAGUUGGUGGGGUAAAGGCCUACCAAGGCGACGAUCCAUAGCUGGUCUGAGAGGAUGAUCAGCCACAUUGGGACUGAGACACGGCCCAAACUCCUACGGGAGGCAGCAGUGGGGAAUAUUGGACAAUGGGCGCAAGCCUGAUCCAGCCAUGCCGCGUGAGUGAUGAAGGCCCUAGGGUUGUAAAGCUCUUUCACCGGUGAAGAUAAUGACGGUAACCGGAGAAGAAGCCCCGGCUAACUUCGUGCCAGCAGCCGCGGUAAUACGAAGGGGGCUAGCGUUGUUCGGAAUUACUGGGCGUAAAGCGCACGUAGGCGGAUUGUUAAGUGAGGGGUGAAAUCCCAGGGCUCAACCCUGGAACUGCCUUUCAUACUGGCAAUCUAGAGUCCAGAAGAGGUGAGUGGAAUUCCGAGUGUAGAGGUGAAAUUCGUAGAUAUUCGGAGGAACACCAGUGGCGAAGGCGGCUCACUGGUCUGGAACUGACGCUGAGGUGC
This 628-nucleotide ribosomal RNA is filed under the name Sinorhizobium sp. RNAcentral's name for it is "bacterial SSU rRNA". It matches the Rfam family "Bacterial small subunit ribosomal RNA", at positions 91 to 754 of the family's 1533-position model. The record is from RNAcentral. Lineage: Bacteria; Pseudomonadati; Pseudomonadota; Alphaproteobacteria; Hyphomicrobiales; Rhizobiaceae.